CCUACGGGGGGCAGCAGUGGGGGAUAUUGCACAAUGGGGGGAACCCUGAUGCAGCGACGCCGCGUGGGUGAAGAAGCGCCUCGGCGCGUAAAGCCCUGUCAGCAGGGAAGAAAAUGACGGUACCUGAAGAAGAAGCCCCGGCUAACUACGUGCCAGCAGCCGCGGUAAUACGUAGGGGGCAAGCGUUAUCCGGAUUUACUGGGUGUAAAGGGGGCGCAGACGGCGAUGCAAGCCAGGUGUGAAAGCCCAUGGCCCAACCACGGGACUGCUUUGGAAACUGUGUUGCUGGAGUGCAGGAGGGGUAGGCGGAAUUCCUGGUGUAGCGGUAAAAUGCGUAGAGAUUAGGAGGAACAC
This 354-nucleotide ribosomal RNA is filed under the name uncultured bacterium. Its description in RNAcentral is "partial 16S ribosomal RNA". It matches the Rfam family "Bacterial small subunit ribosomal RNA", at positions 338 to 709 of the family's 1533-position model. The record is from RNAcentral.